This 462-nucleotide ribosomal RNA is filed under the name uncultured bacterium. Its description in RNAcentral is "bacterial SSU rRNA". It matches the Rfam family "Bacterial small subunit ribosomal RNA", at positions 28 to 507 of the family's 1533-position model. The record is from RNAcentral.
GAUGAACGUUGGCGGCGUGCCUAAUACAUGCAAGUCGAACGAAGACUGUAGUAAUACUGUCUUAGUGGCGAACGGGUGAGUAACGCGUGGGUGACCUGCCCCGAAGUGUGGGAUAACAGUCCGAAAGGAUUGCUAAUACUGCAUAAUAUCCAAGAGAUUAGAUGCUUUUUGGAUUAAAGGAGUAAUUCGCUUCGGGAGGGGCCCGCGUCCCAUCAGCUAGUUGGUAAGGUAAUGGCUUACCAAGGCGAUGACGGGUAGGGGACCUGAGAGGGUGGCCCCCCACAAUGGAACUGAAACACGGUCCAUACACCUACGGGUGCAGCAGUAGGGAAUAUUAGUAAUGGGCGAAAGCCUGAACUAGCAACGCCGCGUGUGCGAAGAAGGCCUUCGGGUUGUAAAGCACUUUUUGAGAGGAUGGAGGAAGGACGGGUACUCUCAGAAUAAGUCUCGGCUAACUACGUG